ACCAUUACUUAUUUCCCUUCAUUGCUUUAAUUUGUAGCAGUGUUGGUUCUAUCUAUAUUAAUUACAUUACUAGCAUGGAGAACAAAACAGAUACUAGUAGUGGAAUAUUAGUGAUGGUGAGUGUGGAAUCUGUUUCUUUAAAUACAAAAAUGAAUGGAAGAUUCUGUGUGAAAAUUUAUUUCCAUCGACACAGAAGAUCCGUUCAAUGUUUCUCCUAUUUAAUAUGAUCAAUUCCAACACCAUCUCAUGGAAAUCAAGGACAGUGUUCAUGUUCCAAAAGGGGCAAAAUCUAUUCGUUUCGAGGUGUUUAAGUUACGUAUAUUCUUUCCCAACAUACAAAUUGGAUACCCAAGUACUCAAGAGUACUAAAUCAGAGGAAUUACGUUCAGAAGAAGAAAAAUUUCUUUUUCAAAAUACAGCAAAGGGAUCGUUGAAUAUAGGAGUGGUACUGAGGGAGAAAGUAUCAAACAAAGAUGGUGCUCGUGAUUAUUUUGUCCUCGACUCAAACGGUUUUAUGAUUUCAAGUUCCAAUAUAUAGGAGAUUCCAAGAUUAGUCCGGGCUAAAUGAUUUUCAAUUUUAUUCAUAAGAAUUCUAAAAAUGUCACUUUUCUUUUAUUGGAAUUGUAAGAUGGCAAGACAUUAGACAUCCCAUUUCUUUCCUUAAUAAUAGCUAGGAUUAAUUAGGACAUUCUUGAGUAAGACUCUUUUUAAGAGUAAUUGUUAGGCUCUUGUUAUAUUAGUAUUUUAAUUCUUAUCCCAUGUUAAUUGAUUUAUUUUAAAAAA
Molecule: long non-coding RNA, 783 nt
Filed under: Capsicum annuum
Lineage: Eukaryota; Viridiplantae; Streptophyta; Magnoliopsida; Solanales; Solanaceae
Description: long non-coding RNA (CANN_LNC003635)
Source: RNAcentral